CAGCAGCCGCGGGAACACGAAGGGGGCUAGCGUUGUUCGGAUUUACUGGGCGUAAAGGGCGCGUAGGCGGGCGAAUCAGUCAGGGGUGAAAUCCCAAGGCUCAACCUUGGAACUGCCUUUGAUACGGUUUGUCUUGAGUUCGAGAGAGGUAAGUGGAACUGCGAGUGUAGAGGUGAAAUUCGUAGAUAUUCGCAAGAACACCAGUGGCGAAGGCGGCUUACUGGCUCGAAACUGACGCUGAGGCGCGAAAGCGUGGGGAGCAAACAGGAUUAGAUACCCCUGUAGUCCCUGUCUCUUAUAC
RNAcentral lists this ribosomal RNA (301 nucleotides) under uncultured bacterium. RNAcentral describes it as "partial 16S ribosomal RNA". It matches the Rfam family "Bacterial small subunit ribosomal RNA", at positions 509 to 807 of the family's 1533-position model. The record is from RNAcentral.